UUGCUUUGGCAGCAGAUAUACUAAAAUCAGGACAAUACAGAGAAGAUUAGCAUGGCCCUUGGGCAAAGAUGACAUGCAAAUUCGUGAAGUGUUCUAUAUUUUU
Cebus imitator (Panamanian white-faced capuchin) is the source of this 103-nucleotide small nuclear RNA. Lineage: Eukaryota; Metazoa; Chordata; Mammalia; Primates; Cebidae. The record is from Ensembl.